This is a long non-coding RNA of Oncorhynchus tshawytscha (Chinook salmon), 957 nucleotides long. NCBI's taxonomy places the organism in Eukaryota, Metazoa, Chordata, Actinopteri, Salmoniformes, Salmonidae. The record is from Ensembl.
UCUCCAAAGCAAAUAAUUAAACAGCAGCAGUAAAAUAACAGAGGCUAUAUACAGGAGGUACCAGUACAGAGUCAAUGUGGAGGCUAUAUACAGGGGGUACCAGUACAGAGUCAAUGUGGAGGCUAUAUACAGGGGGUACCGGUACAGAGUCAAUGUGGAGGCUAUAUACAGGGGGUACCAGUACAGAGUCAAUGUGGAGGCUAUAUACAGGGGGUACCAGUACAGAGUCAAUGUGGAGGCUAUAUACAGGGGGUACCAGUACAGAGUCAAUGUGGAGGCUAUAUACAGGGUGUACCGGUACAGAGUCAAUGUGGAGGCUAUAUACAGGGGGUACCGGUACAGAGUCAAUGUGGAGGCUAUAUACAGGGGGUACCGGUACAGAGUCAAUGUGGAGGCUAUAUACAGGGGGUACCGGUACAGAGUCAAUGUGGAGGCUAUAUACAGGGUAUUACGGUACAGAGUCAAUGUGGAGGCUAUAUACAGGGUAUUACGGUACAGAGUCAAUGUGGAGGCUAUAUACAGGGUAUUACGGUACAGAGUCAAUGUGGAGGCUAUAUACAGGGGGUACCGGUACAGAGUCAAUGUGGAGGCUAUAUACAGGGGGUACCGGUACAGAGUCAAUGUGGAGGCUAUAUACAGGGGUACCGGUACAGAGUCAAUGUGGAGGCUAUAUACAGGGGGUACCGGUACAGAGUCAAUGUGGAGGCUAUAUACAGGGGUACCGGUACAGAGUCAAUGUGGAGGCUAUAUACAGGGAUUACCGGUACAGAGUCAAUGUGGAGGCUAUAUACAGGGUAUUACGGUACAGAGUCAAUGUGGAGGCUAAAUACAGGGUAUUACGGUACAGAGUCAAUGUGGAGGCUAUAUACAGGGGGCACCGGUACAGAGUCAAUGUGGAGACUAUAUACAGGGGGUACCGGUACAGAGUCAAUGUGGAGGCUAUAUACAGGGGGUACC